Molecule: transfer RNA, 71 nt
Filed under: Cavia porcellus (domestic guinea pig)
Lineage: Eukaryota; Metazoa; Chordata; Mammalia; Rodentia; Caviidae
Rfam family: tRNA
About the family: Transfer RNA (tRNA) molecules are approximately 80 nucleotides in length. Their secondary structure includes four short double-helical elements and three loops (D, anti-codon, and T loops). Further hydrogen bonds mediate the characteristic L-shaped molecular structure. tRNAs have two regions of fundamental functional importance: the anti-codon, which is responsible for specific mRNA codon recognition, and the 3' end, to which the tRNAs corresponding amino acid is attached (by aminoacyl-tRNA synthetases). tRNAs cope with the degeneracy of the genetic code in two manners: having more than one tRNA (with a specific anti-codon) for a particular amino acid; and 'wobble' base-pairing, i.e. permitting non-standard base-pairing at the 3rd anti-codon position.
Source: Rfam by way of RNAcentral
GAGAGUAUAGCUCAGUGGUAGAGAACGUAUCUAGCAUAUAGGAGGCUCUAGGUUCAAUCCCUAGCACUUCA